CGAACGAGAACCCUCCCUUCGGGGAGGGGAAAGUGGCGCACGGGUGAGUAACACGUGGGUAAUUUACCUUUGGGUGGGGAACAACAGCCGGAAACGGCUGCUAAUACCGCAUAAUGCAGCGGCUCGACAUCGAGACAGUUGUUAAAGCGGGGGAUCGCAAGACCUCGCGCCUAAAGAGAAGCCCGCGGCAGAUUAGCUAGUUGGUAGGGUAAUGGCCUACCAAGGCGACGAUCUGUAACCGGCCUGAGAGGGCGGUCGGUCACACUGACACUGACAUACGGGUCAGACUCCUACGGGAGGCAGCAGUCGGGAAUUUUGGGCAAUGGGCGAAAGCCUGACCCAGCAACGCCGCGUGAAGGAUGAAGCUUUUCGGAGUGUAAACUUCACAAGAAUGGGAAGAAUAAGUUUAGGAUAAUACCCUGAACGAUGACGGUACCAUUUGUAAGCUCCGGCUAACUCCGUGCCAGCAGCCGCGGUAAUACGGGGGGAGCAAGCGUUGUUCGGAUUUACUGGGCGUAAAGGGCGCGUAGGCGGCGCGACAAGUCACUUGUGAAAUCUCUGAGCUCAACUCAGAACGGUCAAGUGAUACUGUCGUGCUAGAGUGCGGAAGGGGCAACUGGAAUUCUUGGUGUAGCGGUGAAAUGCGUAGAUAUCAAGAGGAACACCUGCGGCGAAGGCGGGUUGCUGGGCCGACACUGACGCUGAGGCGCGAAAGCUAGGGGAGCGAACGGGAUU
RNAcentral lists this ribosomal RNA (735 nucleotides) under uncultured bacterium. RNAcentral's name for it is "bacterial SSU rRNA". It matches the Rfam family "Bacterial small subunit ribosomal RNA", at positions 63 to 779 of the family's 1533-position model. The record is from RNAcentral.